RNAcentral lists this ribosomal RNA (254 nucleotides) under uncultured bacterium. Its description in RNAcentral is "partial 16S ribosomal RNA". It matches the Rfam family "Bacterial small subunit ribosomal RNA", at positions 524 to 776 of the family's 1533-position model. The record is from RNAcentral.
UACGUAGGGUGCGAGCGUUGUCCGGAAUUAUUGGGCGUAAAGAGCUCGUAGGCGGUUUGUCGCGUCGGUCGUGAAAACUUGGGGCUUAACCCUGAGCUUGCGGUCGAUACGGGCAUCACUGGAGUUCGGCAGGGGAGACUGGAAUUCCUGGUGUAGCGGUGAAAUGCGCAGAUAUCAGGAGGAACACCGGUGGCGAAGGCGGGUCUCUGGGCCGAUACUGACGCUGAGGAGCGAAAGCGUGGGGAGCAAACAGG